CACAUUUGUGAUUAUCUUUUUUCCUGAUUUUUUUUCCCUUCUUUUUUCUUGCGCUUGUGUUGUCUCUUCAAAUAAAAAAAAUGGGUGUGUGCAGGUAUGUGAUGGUGU
RNAcentral lists this non-coding RNA (108 nucleotides) under uncultured eukaryote. The record is from RNAcentral.